This 490-nucleotide ribosomal RNA is filed under the name uncultured bacterium. RNAcentral's name for it is "partial 16S ribosomal RNA". It matches the Rfam family "Bacterial small subunit ribosomal RNA", at positions 29 to 505 of the family's 1533-position model. The record is from RNAcentral.
AGUGAACGCUGGCGGUAGGCCUAACACAUGCAAGUCGAACGGCAGCACAGUAAGAGCUUGCUCUUACGGGUGGCGAGUGGCGGACGGGUGAGGAAUACAUCGGAAUCUACUUUUUCGUUGGGGAUAACGUAGGGAAACUUACGCUAAUACCGCAUACGACCUACGGGUGAAAGCAGGGGAUCUUCGGACCUUGCGCGAUUGAAUGAGCCGAUGUCGGAUUAGCUAGUUGGCGGGGUAAAGGCCCACCAAGGCGACGAUCCGUAGCUGGUCUGAGAGGAUGAUCAGCCACACUGGAACUGAGACACGGUCCAGACUCCUACGGGAGGCAGCAGUGGGGAAUAUUGGACAAUGGGCGCAAGCCUGAUCCAGCCAUACCGCGUGGGUGAAGAAGGCCUUCGGGUUGUAAAGCCCUUUUGUUGGGAAAGAAAAGCAGCAGGUUAAUACCCCGCUGUUCUGACGGUACCCAAAGAAUAAGCACCGGCUAACUUCG